RNAcentral lists this ribosomal RNA (497 nucleotides) under uncultured bacterium. RNAcentral's name for it is "partial 16S ribosomal RNA". It matches the Rfam family "Bacterial small subunit ribosomal RNA", at positions 28 to 507 of the family's 1533-position model. The record is from RNAcentral.
GAUGAACGCUGGCGGCGUGCCUAAUACAUGCAAGUCGAGCGAACAGAUGAGGAGCUUGCUCCUCUGACGUUAGCGGCGGACGGGUGAGUAACACGUGGAUAACCUACCUAUAAGACUGGGAUAACUUCGGGAAACCGGAGCUAAUACCGUAUAAUAUAUUGAACCGCAUGGUUCAAUAGUGAAAGACGGUUUUGCUGUCACUUAUAGAUGGAUCCGCGCCGCAUUAGCUAGUUGGUAAGGUAACGGCUUACCAAGGCUACGAUGCGUAGCCGACCUGAGAGGGGGAUCGGCCACACUGGAACUGAGACACGGUCCAGGCUCCUACGGGAGGCAGCAGAAGGGAAUCUUCCGCAAUGGGCGAAAGCCUGACGGAGCAACGCCGCGUGAGUGAUGAAGGUCUUCGGAUCGUAAAACUCUGUUAUUAGGGAAGAACAAAUGUGUAAGUAACUAUGCACGUCUUGACGGUACCUAAUCAGAAAGCCACGGCUAACUACGUG